GCAGACGGGUGCUAUACUUGCAGUCGAGCGGACAGAUGGGAGCUUGCUCCCUGAUGUUAGCGGCGGACGGGUGAGUAACACGUGGGUAACCUGCCUGUAAGACUGGGAUAACUCCGGGAAACCGGGGCUAAUACCGGAUGGUUGUCUGAACCGCAUGGUUCAGACAUAAAAGGUGGCUUCGGCUACCACUUACAGAUGGACCCGCGGCGCAUUAGCUAGUUGGUGAGGUAACGGCUCACCAAGGCGACGAUGCGUAGCCGACCUGAGAGGGUGAUCGGCCACACUGGGACUGAGACACGGCCCAGACUCCUACGGGAGGCAGCAGUAGGGAAUCUUCCGCAAUGGACGAAAGUCUGACGGAGCAACGCCGCGUGAGUGAUGAAGGUUUUCGGAUCGUAAAGCUCUGUUGUUAGGGAAGAACAAGUGCCGUUCAAAUAGGGCGGCACCUUGACGGUACCUAACCAGAAAGCCACGGCUAACUACGUGCCAGCAGCCGCGGUAAUACGUAGGUGGCAAGCGUUGUCCGGAAUUAUUGGGCGUAAAGGGCUCGCAGGCGGUUUCUUAAGUCUGAUGUGAAAGCCCCCGGCUCAACCGGGGAGGGUCAUUGGAAACUGGGGAACUUGAGUGCAGAAGAGGAGAGUGGAAUUCCACGUGUAGCGGUGAAAUGCGUAGAGAUGUGGAGGAACACCAGUGGCGAAGGCGACUCUCUGGUCUGUAACUGACGCUGAGGAGCGAAAGCGUGGGGAGCGAACAGGAUUAGAUACCCUGGUAGUCCACGCCGUAAACGAUGAGUGCUAAGUGUUAGGGGGUUUCCGCCCCUUAGUGCUGCAGCUAACGCAUUAAGCACUCCGCCUGGGGAGUACGGUCGCAAGACUGAAACUCAAAGGAAUUGACGGGGGCCCGCACAAGCGGUGGAACAUGUGGUUUAAUUCGAAGCAACGCGAAGAA
Molecule: ribosomal RNA, 948 nt
Filed under: uncultured Bacillus sp.
Lineage: Bacteria; Bacillati; Bacillota; Bacilli; Caryophanales; Bacillaceae
Description: bacterial SSU rRNA
Rfam family: Bacterial small subunit ribosomal RNA
Source: RNAcentral